UCCAGACUCCUACGGGAGGCAGCAGUGGGGGAUAUUGCACAAUGGGGGGAACCCUGAUGCAGCGACGCCGCGUGGGUGAAGGAGCGUUUCGGCGCGUAAAGCCCUAUCGGCAGGGAAGAAGGAGGACGGUACCUGACUAAGAAGCCCCGGCUAACUACGUGCCAGCAGCCGCGGUAAUACGUAGGGGGCAAGCGUUAUCCGGAUUUACUGGGUGUAAAGGGGGCGCAGACGGCAGCGCAAGCCAGGAGUGAAAGCCCGGGGCCCAACCCCGGGACUGCUCUUGGAACUGCGCGGCUGGAGUGCAGGAGGGGCAGGCGGAAUUCCUGGUGUAGCGGUGAAAUGCGUAGAUAUCAGGAGGAACACCGGUGGCGAAGGCGGCCUGCUGGACUGCGACUGACGUUGAGGCCCGAAAGCGUGGGGAGCAAACAGGAUUAGAUACCCGAGUAAC
Molecule: ribosomal RNA, 448 nt
Filed under: uncultured bacterium
Lineage: Bacteria
Description: partial 16S ribosomal RNA
Rfam family: Bacterial small subunit ribosomal RNA
Source: RNAcentral